CUCGAGUUCCACGAUACGUUGCAACGGUUCUGUGGAGCAACGCUUCAGAUUGUUUUGGUCAUAAUUUGGAGAUGAUCCGGAAGACGAGAGUUGUUGCGGGGAGCCGUCAUUUAAAUGCAUCUGAUCACUGUCAGUCGGUGAAUUUUUCGAUACAUACGGCAUAUAGAUGAAAAGAAAGAAUUUAUAAUUUUCUAUAAUAUAAUUGAUCACACAUACAAUAUGACUAUAUGCUUAUAUACAAUGAGACAAUUAUUCCACAUACCUGGUGAGGGACGUCGCACCUGUUUGAACGAACCGGCGACAAUUGGUCGUACGACGGAGACGACGUGUUGGCGAACCACAUCGCUCCGUUCAGGGUUUCCGCACCGCUGUCCAUCAUGAGUUCCAGCUCCAUUCAACAGCUCUUGUUCUCGAAGCGCAUGUAUCGUCCACCUUGCGGGCACCCCCUCGACCUAGAUCUUCGAUAUGCCCGGAAAUACACGAUGCAUCCGCCGAUCGCCGGUGAUUCUCAGGGCUUAGAUCACCCCCCCUUAGAACAUCACGAAG
Cataglyphis hispanica is the source of this 546-nucleotide long non-coding RNA. RefSeq lists it as uncharacterized. The transcript is spliced from 3 exons. NCBI's taxonomy places the organism in Eukaryota, Metazoa, Arthropoda, Insecta, Hymenoptera, Formicidae. The record is from RefSeq and is a predicted model, not a curated record.